CGAGCGAGUAACGCGUGCCUAACCUGCCCUUAAGAUGGGAACAACUACGGAGACGUAGCUAAAUCCCAAUAUGCUCACGAUGGUGAAAUGCCGAUGCGAGGAAAGAUUUAUCGCUUAAGGAGGGGGCGGCGUCCUAUCAGGUAGUUGGUUGAGGUAACGGCUCACCAAGCCUAUGACAGGUAGCUGGUCUGAGAUGAUGUCCAGCCGCGAUGGGACUGAGAUACGGCCCAUACUCCUACGGGAGGCAGCAGGUGGGAAUCUUGCACAAUGGACGAAAGUCUGAUUGCAGCGAUCCCGCGUGAAGGAUGAAGCAUUACGGUGUAGUAAACUUCUUUUUUGGUGGAAGACGAAUGACGGUACACCAAGAAUAAGAGACGGCUAACUACGUGCCAGCCGCCGC
This 400-nucleotide ribosomal RNA is filed under the name uncultured bacterium. RNAcentral's name for it is "bacterial SSU rRNA". It matches the Rfam family "Bacterial small subunit ribosomal RNA", at positions 100 to 518 of the family's 1533-position model. The record is from RNAcentral.